GCAUAUCAAUAAGCGGAGGAAAAGAAACCAACAGGGAUUGCCUUAGUAACGGCGAGUGAAGCGGCAACAGCUCAAAUUUGAAAGCUGGCCCUUUUAGGGUCCGCAUUGUAAUUUGUAGAGGAUGAUUCGGCGAGGGCUCCUGCCUAAGUCCCCUGGAACGGGGCGUCAUAGAGGGUGAGAAUCCCGUAUGCGGUAGGUUACCUUAGCCAUGUGAAUCUCCUUCGACGAGUCGAGUUGUUUGGGAAUGCAGCUCUAAAUGGGAGGUAAAUUUCUUCUAAAGCUAAAUACCGGCCAGAGACCGAUAGCGCACAAGUAGAGUGAUCGAAAGAUGAAAAGCACUUUGGAAAGAGAGUUAAAAAGUACGUGAAAUUGUUGAAAGGGAAGCGCUUGCAACCAGACUUGUCCGCAGUUGCUCAGCCGGUCUCCUGACCGGCGUACUCUUCUGCGGCCAGGCCAGCAUCAGUUCGGGCGGUCGGAUAAAGGCCUCGGGAAUGUAGCUCCUCUCGGGGAGUGUUAUAGCCCGGGGUGGAAUGCGGCCAGCCUGGACUGAGGAACUCGCUUCGGCAAGGAUGCUGGCGUAAUGGUUGUAAGCGGCCCGUCUGAAACACGGACCAA
RNAcentral lists this ribosomal RNA (615 nucleotides) under Fungal sp. bms7. Its description in RNAcentral is "eukaryotic LSU rRNA". It matches the Rfam family "Eukaryotic large subunit ribosomal RNA", at positions 38 to 669 of the family's 3401-position model. The record is from RNAcentral. Lineage: Eukaryota; Fungi.